RNAcentral lists this ribosomal RNA (2908 nucleotides) under Serratia sp. JKS000199. RNAcentral describes it as "23S ribosomal RNA". It matches the Rfam family "Bacterial large subunit ribosomal RNA". Lineage: Bacteria; Pseudomonadati; Pseudomonadota; Gammaproteobacteria; Enterobacterales; Yersiniaceae. The record is from RNAcentral.
GGUUAAGUGACUAAGCGUACACGGUGGAUGCCUAGGCAGUCAGAGGCGAUGAAGGGCGUGCUAAUCUGCGAAAAGCGUCGGUAAGGUGAUAUGAACCGUUACAACCGGCGAUACCCGAAUGGGGAAACCCAGUGUGUUUCGACACACUAUCAUGUCAUGAAUACAUAGUGGCAUGAGGCGAACCGGGGGAACUGAAACAUCUAAGUACCCCGAGGAAAAGAAAUCAACCGAGAUUCCCCCAGUAGCGGCGAGCGAACGGGGAGGAGCCCAGAACCUGAAUCGGCUUGUGUGUUAGUGGAAGCGUCUGGAAAGUCGCGCAGUAAAGGGUGAUAGCCCCGUACACUAAAAUGCACAGGUCGUGAGUUCGAUGAGUAGGGCGGGACACGUGACAUCCUGUCUGAAUAUGGGGGGACCAUCCUCCAAGGCUAAAUACUCCUGACUGACCGAUAGUGAACCAGUACCGUGAGGGAAAGGCGAAAAGAACCCCGGCGAGGGGAGUGAAAUAGAACCUGAAACCGUGUACGUACAAGCAGUGGGAGCACCUUCGUGGUGUGACUGCGUACCUUUUGUAUAAUGGGUCAGCGACUUAUAUUUUGUAGCAAGGUUAACCGUAUAGGGGAGCCGUAGGGAAACCGAGUCUUAACUGGGCGAAUAGUUGCAAGGUAUAGACCCGAAACCCGGUGAUCUAGCCAUGGGCAGGUUGAAGGUUGGGUAACACUAACUGGAGGACCGAACCGACUAAUGUUGAAAAAUUAGCGGAUGACUUGUGGCUGGGGGUGAAAGGCCAAUCAAACCGGGAGAUAGCUGGUUCUCCCCGAAAGCUAUUUAGGUAGCGCCUCGUGAACUCAUCUUCGGGGGUAGAGCACUGUUUCGGCUAGGGGGCCAUCCCGGCUUACCAAACCGAUGCAAACUCCGAAUACCGAAGAAUGUUAUCACGGGAGACACACGGCGGGUGCUAACGUCCGUCGUGAAGAGGGAAACAACCCAGACCGCCAGCUAAGGUCCCAAAGUCAUGGUUAAGUGGGAAACGAUGUGGGAAGGCAUAGACAGCCAGGAUGUUGGCUUAGAAGCAGCCAUCAUUUAAAGAAAGCGUAAUAGCUCACUGGUCGAGUCGGCCUGCGCGGAAGAUGUAACGGGGCUAAACCAUGCACCGAAGCUGCGGCAGCGACGCUUAGGCGUUGUUGGGUAGGGGAGCGUUCUGUAAGCCGUUGAAGGUGGCCUGUGAGGGUUGCUGGAGGUAUCAGAAGUGCGAAUGCUGACAUAAGUAACGAUAAAGCGGGUGAAAAGCCCGCUCGCCGGAAGACCAAGGGUUCCUGUCCAACGUUAAUCGGGGCAGGGUGAGUCGACCCCUAAGGCGAGGCUGAAAAGCGUAGUCGAUGGGAAACAGGUUAAUAUUCCUGUACUUGGUGUUACUGCGAAGGGGGGACGGAGAAGGCUAGGCUAGCCGGGCGACGGUUGUCCCGGUUUAAGCGUGUAGGGGGUGUGACCUGGUAAAUCCGGUUGCAUGCUAACCCUGAGGCGUGAUGACGAUGCACUACGGUGCAGAAGUAGUUGAUGCCCUGCUUCCAGGAAAAUCCUCUAAGCUCCAGGUAACAUUAAAUCGUACCCCAAACCGACACAGGUGGUCAGGUAGAGAAUACCAAGGCGCUUGAGAGAACUCGGGUGAAGGAACUAGGCAAAAUGGUGCCGUAACUUCGGGAGAAGGCACGCUGGCAUGUAGGUGAAGUCCCUUGCGGAUGGAGCUGAAGCCAGUCGAAGAUACCAGCUGGCUGCAACUGUUUAAUAAAAACACAGCACUGUGCAAACACGAAAGUGGACGUAUACGGUGUGACGCCUGCCCGGUGCUGGAAGGUUAAUUGAUGGGGUCAGCCGCAAGGCGAAGCUCUUGAUCGAAGCCCCAGUAAACGGCGGCCGUAACUAUAACGGUCCUAAGGUAGCGAAAUUCCUUGUCGGGUAAGUUCCGACCUGCACGAAUGGCGUAAUGAUGGCCAGGCUGUCUCCACCCGAGACUCAGUGAAAUUGAACUCGCUGUGAAGAUGCAGUGUACCCGCGGCAAGACGGAAAGACCCCGUGAACCUUUACUAUAGCUUGACACUGAACAUUGAGCCUUGAUGUGUAGGAUAGGUGGGAGGCUUUGAAGCGUGGACGCCAGUCUGCGUGGAGCCAUCCUUGAAAUACCACCCUUUAAUGUUUGAUGUUCUAACUCGGCCCCAUAAUCUGGGGUGAGGACAGUGUCUGGUGGGUAGUUUGACUGGGGCGGUCUCCUCCCAAAGAGUAACGGAGGAGCACGAAGGUUAGCUAAUCACGGUCGGACAUCGUGAGGUUAGUGCAAAGGCAUAAGCUAGCUUGACUGCGAGAGUGACGGCUCGAGCAGGUACGAAAGUAGGUCUUAGUGAUCCGGUGGUUCUGAAUGGAAGGGCCAUCGCUCAACGGAUAAAAGGUACUCCGGGGAUAACAGGCUGAUACCGCCCAAGAGUUCAUAUCGACGGCGGUGUUUGGCACCUCGAUGUCGGCUCAUCACAUCCUGGGGCUGAAGUAGGUCCCAAGGGUAUGGCUGUUCGCCAUUUAAAGUGGUACGCGAGCUGGGUUUAGAACGUCGUGAGACAGUUCGGUCCCUAUCUGCCGUGGGCGUUGGAAGAUUGAGAGGGGUUGCUCCUAGUACGAGAGGACCGGAGUGAACGCACCACUGGUGUUCGGGUUGUCAUGCCAAUGGCAUUGCCCGGUAGCUAAGUGCGGAAAAGAUAAGCGCUGAAAGCAUCUAAGCGCGAAACUUGCCUCAAGAUGAGUCUUCCCUGGGCCUUUAAGGUCCCUGAAGGAACGUUUAAGACUAAGACGUUGAUAGGCUGGGUGUGUAAGUGCAGCGAUGCAUUGAGCUAACCAGUACUAAUGAUCCGUGAGGCUUAACCUU